AAUACUAAGAACUUGUCAAGAAUGUAUAAUUUGCUGCUGAAAUGGAAUACACAAGAUGAAACAGUUAAAUCAGCUAUGAUUAAGUGGGCACAGGACAUUGGUCAUAACAUUAUGUUUGCUGACUGGGAAUGGUUGUGGAACACCGGUAUAAAAUUUACGGCAUGUAAUGCCAUAAAGGAAAAUAUUAUGAAAAUGAUCUAUAGGUGGUACAUGACUCCAGUCAAGCUAGCAAAAAUUUAUCAUUUGCCUGAUAAUAAGUGUUGGAAGUGUAAAGAAACUGAAGGUACUUUUUAUCACCUUUGGUGGACGUGCCCAAAGAUUAAGGCUUUCUGGGAAAUGAUAUAUAAUGAAUUAAAAAAGGUACUUAAAUGUACUUUCCUGAAGAAACCAGAGGCCUUUCUCUUGGGCAUUGCCGGCCAAUUGGUAUCAAAGAAAGAUAGAACUUUUUUUAUGUAUGCUACGACAGCAGCAAGAAUACUCAUCGCAAAGUAUUGGAAGACAGAAGAACUACCCACCUUGGAAGAGUGGCAGAUGAAGGUUAUAGACUAUAUGACAUUGGCGGAGAUGACUGGCAGAAUCCGUGAGCAGGGGAAAGAGACGGUGGAAGAAGAUUGGAAGAAAUUUAAAAUCUAUCUAAAGAACUAUCAUAAAAUUGAGGAAUGUUAAAAUGUCGAGGUUUGGAGAAAGAAAAGGAGAUUACAGCGACAUAAGAUUAAGUUG
Molecule: non-coding RNA, 720 nt
Organism: Podarcis lilfordi (Lilford's wall lizard)
Lineage: Eukaryota; Metazoa; Chordata; Lepidosauria; Squamata; Lacertidae
Source: the annotation of a GenBank genome assembly